GGAGCCUGAGGGAACUUUUGGGGGUGAUGGAAAAGUUUUAUAUCUUGAUUGUGGUGAUAGUAAAUGUAGAUCUGAAAGAAAUCUAAAUGGUUAACCACACUUGUUCCCCAAGUGAUCUGGCAUCUACUGCUGAUGAAGGCUGUGUGCUGUUUUCUGUCGGAAAAUGUUUGGGACCCACAGGGCCCAGGGUCAGAGAACCUCUCCGCCUGAGCAGACACUGGACAGGCUUGUCGGGGAUGCGCGGGCAGGCUCCGGGCCCAGCCCUGCUCCUCUCAGCAACCAGCGUCCAGGGAGAGAUUAUUCUGUUCCUGGGAUGUUCAUUUCCAGAGAGUCCCUCCAGGCAUGAUGCUGCCCCUAUUCCACGGCCCACUUGUGUCUUCAGGCAGAGGACUUCCAGAGCAUGGCCAGCUCCCGC
Molecule: long non-coding RNA, 415 nt
Organism: Cervus elaphus (red deer)
Lineage: Eukaryota; Metazoa; Chordata; Mammalia; Artiodactyla; Cervidae
Exons: 3
Source: RefSeq, a predicted model, not a curated record